This 868-nucleotide long non-coding RNA is filed under the name Bos indicus x Bos taurus (hybrid cattle). Its description in RNAcentral is "lncRNA (ENSBIXG00005022947.1)". Lineage: Eukaryota; Metazoa; Chordata; Mammalia; Artiodactyla; Bovidae. The record is from RNAcentral.
ACAAUAAACUCUUAUGGAAGGUGAGAAAGCAUUCCUAGCUGGAGGAAAAAAAAAAAAAAAAAAGAGAGAAGGAAAAGAAAAAACGAAGGGACCCAUAACGAAGAGCUGGCCAGUAAUUUAACUCAAGAUUCCAGAUCGCCUCCUUGCUCUGUGAAAUAUUUGCUAACACAGGGUGCUGCGUCUUCUUAGGUGGCAUGCAUGCAAAUCUCCACUUUGCUGCUGUUUCUCCUCCCUGGAAAGCAUCCCAAAUGACUGAGGCAGAAACAGCUCCUCCAAACACGCCAAGCCACGACUAGAACACUUGUUUCAAGCGCCAGAUUCCCAAGCAGAGUCCCUCGACCCAAAAAGACAGCAGCUCGAUAGGAUUCACGGGCCUGUAAGUCUUUUGCUGUUUCCACUGCAUCUAGACCCGGGCUUCUCGCUGCGGGUAUUUGGGGCCAGGCCCCUCUUUGCUGUAUGGGGCCAUCCUGUGCCGUCAGCAGCGUCCCUGGUCCCUACCCACCAGAUGCCAGGGUGGCCCCCUUCCCCUCCCAGUGGGGACGAUCAAAAAAUUCUCCAAAUAAUGCCAAAUUUGCCCUGGCAAGUGAAAACCACUGAGAAUGACUGUUCCAGAUCUUGAGGACAGGAAAAUCAAGAAAGCCCUUCACCUUUUUUCCCCCCACACACCCCCCACCCCAGCACUAAAUAUGGUUAAUUCAAGCCCGUAGGCUAAAUAGUCAAAAUUGCCUAAGGUUUCUCACCAUUUCUUUUCUUCUUUUACUUUUUUUAAAAGAGGAAUCUUGAAGCUAAACUACACCAAAAACAUCAGACAUAAAAUUAAUAAUAGGAUACAAAUGGUUAAUCAAUAAAAUUCUGACUUUCUGAAGCA